Molecule: ribosomal RNA, 253 nt
Filed under: uncultured bacterium
Lineage: Bacteria
Description: partial 16S ribosomal RNA
Rfam family: Bacterial small subunit ribosomal RNA
Source: RNAcentral
UACGGGGGGAGCAAGCGUUGUUCGGAUUUACUGGGCGUAAAGGGCGCGUAGGCGGCGCAACAAGUCACUUGUGAAAUCUCCGGGCUUAACUCGGAAAGGUCAAGUGAUACUGUUGUGCUAGAGUGCGGAAGGGGCAACUGGAAUUCUCGGUGUAGCGGUGAAAUGCGUAGAUAUCGAGAGGAACACCUGCGGCGAAGGCGGGUUGCUGGGCCGACACUGACGCUGAGGCGCGAAAGCUAGGGUAGCAAACGGG